RNAcentral lists this long non-coding RNA (830 nucleotides) under Ananas comosus (pineapple). RNAcentral describes it as "long non-coding RNA (ACOM_LNC040175)". Lineage: Eukaryota; Viridiplantae; Streptophyta; Magnoliopsida; Poales; Bromeliaceae. The record is from RNAcentral.
AGAGAGAGAGCUAGGCUGGUAUACUAUCAGUAGCACGGAGGCCUCCGUACUACAAAGUUGUUUUCAAUGAUGUGGCUUCCAAAUCGACUAUCGGCUCUAUUAGACUUGAUCUACACUAUUGAAAAUAUUUGGAAACUAAAUUUCAUAAUUUUUCGGCAUCAUUUACCUAUUAAAACGAGUAGUCUAAAAAUGAACGGUUGAAGAUAAAAUCUCAUAAAAAAUAAUGAUAAAAGACUUGAAUAUAUGAUCAGAGGUACCGAUCUUACUCUAAAUAGUGAAAAGAAUUUUCUAUAAAAAUUUCAUCUGAUUUGGAUUGUUUUAUACCGUUAAAUUUACAAAAGUAUCACAUCUACCAUUAAAAUUGUCAAUUUUGAGACCUUUUGAUCACUAGCCAAAUGAUGUCCAAAAAUUAUGAAAUUUAGUUUUCAAAUACUUUUAAUAGUGUAGAUCAAGUCUAAUGGAGCCGAUCGUCGAUUUGGAAGCCACAUCAUUGAAAAUAACUUGGUAGCAUGAAGGCAUUCGUGCUACUGAUAGUAUACCAGCCUAACUAUAUAUAUAUAUAGAGUCCGGCUACUAUACUAUUUAUAGUACGGGAGCUCCCGUACUAUAGUGUUGUUUUCAAUCUUCGGGCGUUCAAAUCAACGAUCCACACCGUUAAAACUGAUCUAGGGUAUUUAAAGCUUUUAGAAAUAAAAUUUUAUAUUUUUUCGACAUAGUUUACUUUAUGAUCAAAAUAUUUCAAAAUUGUCAAAUUUCAAUGGCUAUUAUGACGAGUUUGGAGUUUAACGGUGUAGAAGAAUCUAAAUUUCUUCAAAUUUUGAUAGAAAAUU